RNAcentral lists this ribosomal RNA (206 nucleotides) under Streptococcus gallolyticus. RNAcentral's name for it is "partial 16S ribosomal RNA". It matches the Rfam family "Bacterial small subunit ribosomal RNA", at positions 1271 to 1481 of the family's 1533-position model. The record is from RNAcentral. Lineage: Bacteria; Bacillati; Bacillota; Bacilli; Lactobacillales; Streptococcaceae.
AUCUCUUAAAGCCAAUCUCAGUUCGGAUUGUGGCUGCAACUCGCCUACAUGAAGUCGGAUCGCUAGUAUCGCGGAUCACACGCCGCGGUGAAUCGUUCCCGGGCCUUGUCACACCGCCCGUCACACCACGAGUUUGUAACACCCGAAGUCGGUGAGGUAACCUUUUAGGAGCCAGCCGACCUAAGCGUGGGAUAGAUGAUUGGGGU